RNAcentral lists this ribosomal RNA (429 nucleotides) under Actinomycetes bacterium. RNAcentral's name for it is "Actinobacteria bacterium partial 16S ribosomal RNA". It matches the Rfam family "Bacterial small subunit ribosomal RNA", at positions 355 to 776 of the family's 1533-position model. Lineage: Bacteria; Bacillati; Actinomycetota; Actinomycetes. The record is from RNAcentral.
UAGGGAAUCUUCCGCAAUGGGCGAAAGCCUGACGGAGCAACGCCGCGUGAGUGAUGAAGGUCUUCGGAUCGUAAAACUCUGUUAUUAGGGAAGAACAAAUGUGCAAGUAACUAUGCACGUCUUGACGGUACCUAAUCAGAAAGCCACGGCUAACUACGUGCCAGCAGCCGCGGUAAUACGUAGGUGGCAAGCGUUAUCCGGAAUUAUUGGGCGUAAAGCGCGCGUAGGCGGUUUUUUAAGUCUGAUGUGAAAGCCCACGGCUCAACCGUGGAGGGUCAUUGGAAACUGGAAAACUUGAGUGCAGAAGAGGAAAGUGGAAUUCCAUGUGUAGCGGUGAAAUGCGCGGAGAUAUGGAGGAACACCAGUGGCGAAGGCGACUUUCUGGUCUGUAACUGACGCUAAUGUGCGAAAGCGUGGGGAUCAAACAGG